CGGCACAGCGGGAAGCCAGGCGGCGACGCCGAGCGAACCAAAGCCGUUCUCAGUUCGGAUCGGAGUCUGCAACCCGACUCCGUGAAGCUGGAUUCGCUAGUAAUCGCGCAUCAGCCAUGGCGCGGUGAAUACGUUCCCGGGCCUUGUACACACCGCCCGUCAAGCCAUGGGAGCCGGGGGCACUUGAAGUACGCCGCCGCGAGGAGCGUCCCAGAGUGAAACUGGUGACUGGGGCUAAGUCGUAACAAGGUAGC
Molecule: ribosomal RNA, 254 nt
Filed under: uncultured bacterium
Lineage: Bacteria
Description: partial 16S ribosomal RNA
Rfam family: Bacterial small subunit ribosomal RNA
Source: RNAcentral